UUUUUUUUUUUUUUUUUGUAUGUUUUGUAGAGACAGAGUCUCACUAUGUUGCCUAGGCUGGUCUUGAACUCCUGGGCUUGAACUCCUCCUGUCUUGGCCUCCCAAGGUGCUAGGAUUACAGGCGUGUGCCACUGCACCUGGCCAGAUAUUACUUUUGUGUUUAUGCUUUAUAGACAAUGAAAUUGAAACUCAGAGAGAUCAAGGGAUUUGUCCAAGGUCAUAUAGCUAAUAAGUGCUAGAGUCAGGAUUUGAAUCCAGAACUAAUUCAAAAUUCUGCUUUUCUUCCAUUAACUCAGUUAUUAGAUACUCCCCCUGAUACACAGCAACACACUAAGCAUUUGCAAAUGGUAUGUUAAUUCAUUUAUUCAUUUACUCAAAACUGAUUUUGCACCUGCUACAGUCAGACACUAUUCUAAAUACUAAGAAUACAGUAAUGAACCAAACAGACAAAGGGCAUACCCUAAUAGAGCUCAUAGAGCUCACUUCAAAGGGAGAGAGAGAGAGAAAAAGUAAACAAAUAAAGAAGCUAAUGUUAGACAGUGAUAAGAGCUCUAAAGGAAAUAAACAGGAUGUAUCAGUAAGCUAUUGCUGCGUAACAAACUGUUCCAGAAUGUAGUGGCUUAAACAACAAUUAUUUAUUUAGCUCAUGAUUCUACAAGUUGUACUUUAAGCUGGGCUCAGUUGAGAAGUUCUUCAGCUAACCUUAGCUGACCUCAGUUGGGCCUGCUAGCCCAGGUGUUUGUAGCCAGCUAGAAAGUUAACUAGGGGUUAGCUGUACAGGAUGGUGUUAGCACUGGUCCAUGUGCCUCCCAUUCCCCAGAUGGCUAGUCUGGGUUUGGACAGAUGGUGAUGAUGAUAAGGUUCUAGAGAGAGAAAUACACAAUGACUCUGAAGGUCUGGGCUCAGAACUGCCACACCAUCACUUUGUUGCAUACUAUUGGUCAAGACAAGUCACAAAGUCAGCCCAGAUUCAAGGCGUGGGGAGACAGACACCACCUCUCAAUGGGAAGAACUACAAAGUCAAUUUCAAAGGGUAUAGAUACAGGGAUACUAUUAGUUGGAGACAUCAAUGAAAUUAAUGUACCUAACAGGGUGAUGUGAUAGAGGAUGGCUGAGUGGUGGGAAGAGGAAGGAAUAGAGUACUUCAGAUGGGAGAAGGCCUCUCUGAUGAGGUGACAUUUAUUCUCAGAGCUGAAGUAUGAGAAGGAAGAGCCAUUCAAAGCCAUAGGACAGAGUAUCCCCUAAGAAGAAGUUAUUCUAAAAGAUACACUCCCCAUAGCAAAAUGUCCACAUCCUUCACACAUACCUGUUGCAUGAUCAUAUAUUAAAUAAAGGACUUAGCAGCAGGUACACAGGAGAGCAACAUAGUAUAACAUCAAAAUGCUCAUCCCUUCACCUCCCCACAACCUUAAAUGACCACUGAAAGCAUGCAGAUUUUUUCAGUGGCUAUCAUUUUCAUGAAAUAGUUGUGGACCCUUAGAGAAAUGUAUCUCCCAAAAUAGAGAUGUAGGAAAGAGAGGGAUGCAUAGGAAGCAAAGCAAAGGGAAUAUUAAUGAAGAAUGAAGAUGGAAGAGACUAAUAGCAAGAAAGAAAGUGGAGAUGGUGAGACAGGCAGAAACAUCGUUGACAUGUAGUAAACUCUUAAUAAGUACUUGUAGAAUUAGUGAGUGGAUGAGGCCCCCAUAUGUGUGUGUGUGUAUAUAUAUAUAUACAUGUAUGCAUGCAUAUGCACAUGUGAUGGAGGAAUAAACGAGAUAAAGGGAAGCAGAGGGAGCCAUCACUACUGAUGGUGGUAGGGAAGC
Macaca fascicularis (crab-eating macaque) is the source of this 1802-nucleotide long non-coding RNA. Lineage: Eukaryota; Metazoa; Chordata; Mammalia; Primates; Cercopithecidae. The record is from Ensembl.